This 458-nucleotide long non-coding RNA is filed under the name Carica papaya (papaya). Its description in RNAcentral is "long non-coding RNA (CPAP_LNC014627)". Lineage: Eukaryota; Viridiplantae; Streptophyta; Magnoliopsida; Brassicales; Caricaceae. The record is from RNAcentral.
UAAUGCCAAGAAAAACCUCAGUUAUUCACACCCCGAAGUGGUAAUACCUCUCCCGUAUUACAGUUUUAAAUACAAAACUUCUAUACUAUCUAAAGAAACAACCCUUGUAUUUCCUUUUUACCUUUUUUCAAUUCCUGUAACUCGUGUAUUUCCAUUUCUUGUCCUCAUUCCUCCCAUGCAAAAUUUCUCUUUAUUAUUUUCUUUGUUGGCUGUCUAGACUUUCCACUAUCCUCAUGGACAUCUGGUUUUUACAAUAAAUAUCCAUAGUAGCUUCCCCUUCAAAACCAGGAUAAUUGCAACUUCCUUUACAAGCCUUAUCACCUAGAUGAUAGUGAUGCAAAUAUUUCUAGCCAUAAUUAAAGACAGUCAUGCAAGAUAUUAACAUCCAUAUCCAGAUUAACGAGGUGUGAACAUAUGUCUAACCACAAAGGAAACCCCACUUAGAUGAAACAAAGUAA